AACGUAGGACGCAAGCGUUAUCCGGAGUUACUGGGCGUAAAGCGCGGGCAGGCGGCUCGAAACGUCUGAUGUGAAAUCUCCUCGCUCAACGGGGAGAGGCCAUUGGAAACGGUCGAGCUGGAGGGCAGUAGAGGUAGGCGGAAUUCCGGGUGGAGUGGUGAAAUGCGUAGAGAUCCGGAGGAACACCAGAGGCGAAGGCGGCCUACUGGGCUGCACCUGACGCUGAGGCGCGAAAGCUAGGGGAGCAAACGGG
This 253-nucleotide ribosomal RNA is filed under the name uncultured bacterium. RNAcentral's name for it is "partial 16S ribosomal RNA". It matches the Rfam family "Bacterial small subunit ribosomal RNA", at positions 524 to 776 of the family's 1533-position model. The record is from RNAcentral.